RNAcentral lists this long non-coding RNA (194 nucleotides) under Cyanistes caeruleus (blue tit). Its description in RNAcentral is "lncRNA (ENSCCEG00000009379.1)". Lineage: Eukaryota; Metazoa; Chordata; Aves; Passeriformes; Paridae. The record is from RNAcentral.
GAUUAACAAUGUGGGGCUGGCAUGUCAUAAUUAGCAGUGGGGGGACAGCAGCCUGCAUGACAGUUCUGCAUGGCAUGCUGUCCUUUUCUCUCCAGUGCAGUCCCCAUCUCACUUCUAAUGUGCAAAAGGAGAGAUUAUUCACCAGGGUGCUGAGAUACCAGGACACAGAAGAAAACAGGAAUACUCAUCUCUGA